GUGCUAUACAUGCAGUCGAGCGGACAGAAGGGAGCUUGCUCCCGGAUGUUAGCGGCGGACGGGUGAGUAACACGUGGGUAACCUGCCUGUAAGACUGGGAUAACUCCGGGAAACCGGAGCUAAUACCGGAUAGUUCCUUGAACCGCAUGGUUCAAGGAUGAAAGACGGUUUCGGCUGUCACUUACAGAUGGACCCGCGGCGCAUUAGCUAGUUGGUGGGGUAAUGGCUCACCAAGGCGACGAUGCGUAGCCGACCUGAGAGGGUGAUCGGCCACACUGGGACUGAGACACGGCCCAGACUCCUACGGGAGGCAGCAGUAGGGAAUCUUCCGCAAUGGACGAAAGUCUGACGGAGCAACGCCGCGUGAGUGAUGAAGGUUUUCGGAUCGUAAAGCUCUGUUGUUAGGGAAGAACAAGUGCGAGAGUAACUGCUCGCACCUUGACGGUACCUAACCAGAAAGCCACGGCUAACUACGUGCCAGCAGCCGCGGUAAUACGUAGGUGGCAAGCGUUGUCCGGAAUUAUUGGGCGUAAAGGGCUCGCAGGCGGUUUCUUAAGUCUGAUGUGAAAGCCCCCGGCUCAACCGGGGAGGGUCAUUGGAAACUGGGAAACUUGAGUGCAGAAGAGGAGAGUGGAAUUCCACGUGUAGCGGUGAAAUGCGUAGAGAUGUGGAGGAACACCAGUGGCGAAGGCGACUCUCUGGUCUGUAACUGACGCUGAGGAGCGAAAGCGUGGGGAGCGAACAGGAUUAGAUACCCUGGUAGUCCACGCCGUAAACGAUGAGUGCUAAGUGUUAGGGGGUUUCCGCCCCUUAGUGCUGCAGCUAACGCAUUAAGCACUCCGCCUGGGGAGUACGGUCGCAAGACUGAAAC
RNAcentral lists this ribosomal RNA (871 nucleotides) under Bacillus sp. UPUM07. RNAcentral describes it as "bacterial SSU rRNA". It matches the Rfam family "Bacterial small subunit ribosomal RNA", at positions 44 to 900 of the family's 1533-position model. Lineage: Bacteria; Bacillati; Bacillota; Bacilli; Caryophanales; Bacillaceae. The record is from RNAcentral.